UGAAUUAAUGCAAACUGCAUACUGCUUUGAACAUCGACAUCUUGAACGCAUAUUGCGGCCAUGGGUUAGCCUGUGGCCACGGCUGUCCGAGGGUCGG
Molecule: ribosomal RNA, 97 nt
Filed under: Fasciola gigantica
Lineage: Eukaryota; Metazoa; Platyhelminthes; Trematoda; Plagiorchiida; Fasciolidae
Description: partial 18S rRNA
Rfam family: 5.8S ribosomal RNA
About the family: 5.8S ribosomal RNA (5.8S rRNA) is a component of the large subunit of the eukaryotic ribosome.
Source: RNAcentral